GGGGACAUAGCUCAGUUGGGAGAGCAGCAGACUGAAGUUCUGAAGGUCCCCAGUUCAAUCCUGGGUGUCCCCA
Molecule: transfer RNA, 73 nt
Organism: Cylindrobasidium torrendii FP15055 ss-10
Lineage: Eukaryota; Fungi; Basidiomycota; Agaricomycetes; Agaricales; Physalacriaceae
Rfam family: tRNA
About the family: Transfer RNA (tRNA) molecules are approximately 80 nucleotides in length. Their secondary structure includes four short double-helical elements and three loops (D, anti-codon, and T loops).
Source: Rfam